UGAGUUUGAUCCUGGCUCAGAGCGAACGCUGGCGGCAGGCCUAACACAUGCAAGUCGAACGAACCCUUCGGGGUUAGUGGCGGACGGGUGAGUAACACGUGGGAACGUACCUUUAGGUUCGGAACAACACAGGGAAACUUGUGCUAAUGCCGAAUGUGCCCUUCGGGGGAAAGAUUUAUCGCCUUUAGAGCGGCCCGCGUCUGAUUAGCUUGUUGGUGAGGUAAAGGCUCACCAAGGCUACGAUCAGUAGCUGGUCUGAGAGGAUGAUCAGCCACACUGGGACUGAGACACGGCCCAGACUCCUACGGGAGGCAGCAGUGGGGAAUCUUGCGCAAUGGGCGAAAGCCUGACGCAGCCAUGCCGCGUGAAUGAUGAAGGUCUUAGGAUUGUAAAAUUCUUUCACCGGGGAAGAUAAUGACGGUACCCGGAGAAGAAGCCCCGGCUAACUUCGUGCCAGCAGCCGCGGUAAUACGAAGGGGGCUAGCGUUGCUCGGAUUUACUGGGCGUAAAGGGCGCGUAGGCGGACGAUUUAGUCAGAGGUGAAAGCCCGGGGCUCAACCCCGGAAUAGCCUUUGAUACUGGUCGUCUUGAGUUUGGGAGAGGUAUGCGGAACUCCGAGUGUAGAGGUGAAAUUCGUAGAUAUUCGGAAGAACACCAGUGGCGAAGGCGGCAUACUGGCC
RNAcentral lists this ribosomal RNA (680 nucleotides) under Brevundimonas sp. enrichment culture clone d119. RNAcentral describes it as "bacterial SSU rRNA". It matches the Rfam family "Bacterial small subunit ribosomal RNA", at positions 1 to 734 of the family's 1533-position model. The record is from RNAcentral. Lineage: Bacteria; Pseudomonadati; Pseudomonadota; Alphaproteobacteria; Caulobacterales; Caulobacteraceae.